GACUGAGUGGCGGACGGGUGAGUAACGCGUGAGCAACCUGCCCUUCGGAACGGGAUAGUGUCUGGAAACGGACAGUAAUACCGUAUAACGUAUUUUUACCGCAUGAUAGAAAUACCAAAACUGAGGUGCCGAAGGAUGGGCUCGCGUCUGAUUAGAUAGUUGGUGGGGUAACGGCCUACCAAGUCGACGAUCAGUAGCCGGACUGAGAGGUUGAACGGCCACAUUGGGACUGAGACACGGCCCAGACUCC
Molecule: ribosomal RNA, 250 nt
Filed under: uncultured Oscillospiraceae bacterium
Lineage: Bacteria; Bacillati; Bacillota; Clostridia; Eubacteriales; Oscillospiraceae
Description: partial 16S ribosomal RNA
Rfam family: Bacterial small subunit ribosomal RNA
Source: RNAcentral